This 608-nucleotide ribosomal RNA is filed under the name uncultured Flavobacteriales bacterium. RNAcentral describes it as "bacterial SSU rRNA". It matches the Rfam family "Bacterial small subunit ribosomal RNA", at positions 88 to 692 of the family's 1533-position model. The record is from RNAcentral. Lineage: Bacteria; Pseudomonadati; Bacteroidota; Flavobacteriia; Flavobacteriales.
CUUGAGACCGGCGCACGGGUGCGUGAGCGCGUAUGCAAUCUACCUUGUACAGAGGGAUAGCCCAGAGAAAUUUGGAUUAAUACCUCAUAGUAUUAUUGAAUGGCAUCAUUUAAUAAUUAAAGUUCCAACGGUACAAGAUGAGCAUGCGUCCUAUUAGCUAGUUGGUGUGGUAAGCGGCAUACCAAGGCUACGAUAGGUAGGGGUCCUGAGAGGGAGAUCCCCCACACUGGUACUGAGACACGGACCAGACUCCUACGGGAGGCAGCAGUGAGGAAUAUUGGACAAUGGGCGCAAGCCUGAUCCAGCCAUGCCGCGUGCAGGAAGACGCAUCUAUGGUGUGUAAACUGCUUUUGUACGGGAAGAAACACUCCCUCGUGAGGGAGCUUGACGGUACCGUAAGAAUAAGGAUCGGCUAACUCCGUGCCAGCAGCCGCGGUAAUACGGAGGAUCCAAGCGUUAUCCGGAAUCAUUGGGUUUAAAGGGUCCGUAGGCGGUUUAAUAAGUCAGUGGUGAAAGCCCAUCGCUCAACGAUGGAACGGCCAUUGAUACUGUUAGACUUGAAUUACAAGGAAGUAACUAGAAUAUGUAGUGUAGCGGUGAAAUGCUUA